CAUGCCUUGGAUGAGUCGCGGUGAGACAACGAUUGGAAACGACUGCUAAUACCGCAUAAUGUCUACGGACCAAAGGGGGCUUCGGCUCUCGCCUUUAGAUUGGCCCAAGUGGGAUUAGCUAGUUGGUGAGGUAAUGGCUCACCAAGGCGACGAUCCCUAGCUGGUUUGAGAGGAUGAUCAGCCACACUGGGACUGAGACACGGCCCAGACUCCUACGGGAGGCAGCAGUGGGGAAUAUUGCACAAUGGGCGCAAGCCUGAUGCAGCCAUGCCGCGUGUGUGAAGAAGGCCUUCGGGUUGUAAAGCACUUUCAGUCAGGAGGAAAGGUUAGUAGUUAAUACCUGCUAGCUGUGACGUUACUGACAGAAGAAGCACCGGCUAACUCCGUGCCAGCAGCCGCGGUAAUACGGAGGGUGCGAGCGUUAAUCGGAAUUACUGGGCGUAAAGCGUACGCAGGCGGUUUGUUAAGCGAGAUGUGAAAGCCCCGGGCUCAACCUGGGAACUGCAUUUCGAACUGGCAAACUAGAGUGUGAUAGAGGGUGGUAGAAUUUCAGGUGUAGCGGUGAAAUGCGUAGAGAUCUGAAGGAAUACCGAUGGCGAAGGCAGCCACCUGGGUCAACACUGACGCUCAUGUACGAAAGCGUGGGGAGCAAACGGGAUUAGAUACCCCGGUAGUCCACGCCGUAAACGAUGUCUACUAGAAGCUCGGAACCUCGGUUCUGUUUUUCAAAGCUAACGCAUUAAGUAGACCGCCUGGGGAGUACGGCCGCAAGGUUAAAACUCAAAUGAAUUGACGGGGGCCCGCACAAGCGGUGGAGCAUGUGGUUUAAUUCGAUGCAACGCGAAAACCUUACCUACACUUGACAUACAGAGAACUUA
This 878-nucleotide ribosomal RNA is filed under the name Pseudoalteromonas sp. TB22. Its description in RNAcentral is "bacterial SSU rRNA". It matches the Rfam family "Bacterial small subunit ribosomal RNA", at positions 111 to 999 of the family's 1533-position model. Lineage: Bacteria; Pseudomonadati; Pseudomonadota; Gammaproteobacteria; Alteromonadales; Pseudoalteromonadaceae. The record is from RNAcentral.